UGGGGGAUAUUGCACAAUGGGCGAAAGCCUGAUGCAGCGACGCCGCGUGGGGGAUGAAGGCUUUCGGGUUGUAAACCUCUUUCGCUAUCGAACAAGGCCCGCUUAGGGUGGGUUGAGGGUAGGUGGAGAAGAAGCGCCGGCUAACUACGUGCCAGCAGCCGCGGUAAUACGUAGGGCGCGAGCGUUGUCCGGAAUUAUUGGGCGUAAAGGGCUUGUAGGCGGCUUGUUGCGCCUGCUGUGAAAACGCGAGGCUUAACUUCGCGCGUGCAGUGGGUACGGGCAGGCUUGAGUGUGGUAGGGGUGACUGGAAUUCCAGGUGUAGCGGUGGAAUGCGCAGAUAUCUGGAGGAACACCGAUGGCGAAGGCAGGUCACUGAGCCAUUACUGACGCUGAGGAGCGAAAGCAUGGGUAGCGAACAGG
This 420-nucleotide ribosomal RNA is filed under the name bacterium. RNAcentral's name for it is "partial 16S ribosomal RNA". It matches the Rfam family "Bacterial small subunit ribosomal RNA", at positions 355 to 776 of the family's 1533-position model. The record is from RNAcentral.